AGUGAACGCUGGCGGUAGGCCUAACACAUGCAAGUCGAACGGCAGCACAGUAAGAGCUUGCUCUUACGGGUGGCGAGUGGCGGACGGGUGAGGAAUACAUCGGAAUCUACUUUUUCGUGGGGGAUAACGUAGGGAAACUUACGCUAAUACCGCAUACGACCUACGGGUGAAAGCAGGGGAUCUUCGGACCUUGCGCGAUUGAAUGAGCCGAUGUCGGAUUAGCUAGUUGGCGGGGUAAAGGCCCACCAAGGCGACGAUCCGUAGCUGGUCUGAGAGGAUGAUCAGCCACACUGGACCUGAGACACGGUCCAGACUCCUACGGGAGGCAGCAGUGGGAAAUAUUGGACAAUGGGCGCAAGCCUGAUCCAGCCAUACCGCGUGGGUGAAGAAGGCCUUCGGGUUGUAAAGCCCUUUUGUUGGGAAAGAAAAGCAGCAGGUUAAAACCCCGCUGUUCUGACGGUACCAAAAGAAUAAGCACCGGCAAACUUGGU
This 491-nucleotide ribosomal RNA is filed under the name uncultured bacterium. Its description in RNAcentral is "partial 16S ribosomal RNA". It matches the Rfam family "Bacterial small subunit ribosomal RNA", at positions 29 to 506 of the family's 1533-position model. The record is from RNAcentral.